GAACAACCUUCGCUUCCCGGCAUGAUGAUAACUUACCAGUCUUUUUUUAUCAUCUUCAUCAUUAUCAUGUUCUUCCAAGUUAUGAUCAAACAUUAAAUGGACUCCACACUUAUGGACUUCACAGUACAUGCGGGCUUCACCUUUGAGUAAGGCCUCUCUAUUGAAGAAGCAUUUGAUGAAGAAUUGAAAUGAGGCCUCCUUGAUGCAGAAUUUCUUGGAAUUGAGAUGAAUUGUGGAAUACCGUAGGGAGAUGUGAUGUAUCUUGACUAAUAGGCAUUCAGAAUACAUUUUGAGACUAUCUCCAGACUCAGUUAUGAAAUGGGAUUCACAUAAAAGAGACAUAACAGUCUUGAUGAAAUUACGAGUGGUUUAAUUUCUUGCCAACAUCAUUG
Molecule: unclassified non-coding RNA, 392 nt
Filed under: Hevea brasiliensis (rubber tree)
Lineage: Eukaryota; Viridiplantae; Streptophyta; Magnoliopsida; Malpighiales; Euphorbiaceae
Source: RNAcentral